RNAcentral lists this non-coding RNA (208 nucleotides) under Enterococcus rivorum. Its description in RNAcentral is "T-box sequence". It matches the Rfam family "T-box leader". Rfam says of the family: Uncharged tRNA acts as the effector for transcription antitermination of genes in the T-box leader family. T-boxes are found upstream of many aminoacyl-tRNA synthetase genes and some amino acid biosynthetic genes usually in Gram-positive bacteria. The record is from RNAcentral. Lineage: Bacteria; Bacillati; Bacillota; Bacilli; Lactobacillales; Enterococcaceae.
UAAAACAUGAUGAAAAGAAAAAGUAAACAAAAAAAUGUCAUUUAGAGAGAUUGUGGUUGGUGGGAACAGUCGGCAUUUUUUGUUGAAAUGCAUCUUUGAGUGGUUUCGGCGAUAAGUAGCUGAAAACAGGUGACUCCUGUUAUUAGUCUCGAGACAGGUCUAUAAAUGCCUGUGAAAAAAAGUGGAACCACGUGAGAACGUCUUUUAA